AGUGCAUGUGGUGGAUGCCUUGGCAGUCAGAGGCGAUGAAAGACGUGAUAGCCUGCGAAAAGCUCCGGGGAGGCGGCAAAUAUCCUUUGAUCCGGAGAUGUCUGAAUGGGGGAACCCACCUACUUUAAGGUAGGUAUUGCAACAUGAAUACAUAGUGUUGCAAGGCGAACGAGGGGAAGUGAAACAUCUCAGUACCCUUAGGAAAAGAAAUCAAUUGAGAUUCCCUCAGUAGCGGCGAGCGAACGGGGAUCAGCCCAUUAAGUUAUGUGUGUUUUAGUGGAACGCUCUGGGAAGUGCGAACGUAGAGGGUGAUAUUCCCGUACACGAAAGGGCACACAUAAUGAUGACGAGUAGGGCGAGGCACGUGAAACCUUGUCUGAAUAUGGGGGGACCAUCCUCCAAGGCUAAAUACUCCUGACUGACCGAUAGUGAACCAGUACCGUGAGGGAAAGGCGAAAAGAACCCCUGUGAGGGGAGUGAAAUAGAUCCUGAAACCGCAUGCAUACAAGCAGUGGGAGCACCUUCGUGGUGUGACUGCGUACCUUUUGUAUAAUGGGUCAGCGACUUAUAUUCAGUAGCGAGGUUAACCGUAUAGGGGAGCCGUAGAGAAAUCGAGUCUUAAUAGGGCGUUUAGUUGCUGGGUAUAGACCCGAAACCAGGCGAUCUAUCCAUGAGCAGGUUGAAGGUUGGGUAACACUAACUGGAGGACCGAACCCACUGUCGUUGAAAAGCCAGGGGAUGACUUGUGGAUAGGGGUGAAAGGCUAAUCAAGCCUGGUGAUAGCUGGUUCUCCCCGAAAGCUAUUUAGGUAGCGCCUCGGACGAAUACCAUAGGGGGUAGAGCACUGUUUCGGCUAGGGGGUCAUCCCGACUUACCAAACCGAUGCAAACUCCGAAUACCUAUGAGUACUAUCCGGGAGACAGACUGCGGGUGCUAACGUCCGUAGUCAAGAGGAAAACAAUCCAGACCGCCAGCUAAGGCCCCAAAAUCAUAGUUAAGUGGGAAACGAUGUGGGAAGGCAUAGACAGCUAGGAGGUUGGCUUAGAAGCAGCCACCCUUUAAAGAAAGCGUAAUAGCUCACUAGUCGAGUCGGCCUGCGCGGAAGAUGUAACGGGGCUAAAACUAUGUGCCGAAGCUGCGGAUGUAUACUUUGUAUACGUGGUAGGGGAGCGUUCUGUAAGCCGAUGAAGGUGUGUUGAGAAGCAUGCUGGAGGUAUCAGAAGUGCGAAUGCUGACGUGAGUAACGACAAAACGGGUGAAAAACCCGUUCGCCGAAAGACCAAGGGUUCCAGUCCAACGUUAAUCGGGGCUGGGUGAGUCGACCCCUAAGGCGAGGCCGAAAGGCGUAGUCGAUGGGAAAAUGGUUAAUAUUCCAUUACUUCUGUGUAAUGCGAUGAGAGGACGGAGAAGGCUAAAUCAGCCUGGCGUUGGUUGUCCAGGUGAAAGGAUGUAGGCAUGUAUCUUAGGCAAAUCCGGGGUACUCUAUGCUGAGAUCUGAUAGCAAGCUGUACUUGUACAGCGAAGUGGUUGAUGCCAUGCUUCCAGGAAAAGUCUCUAAGCUUCAGUUACACAGGAAUCGUACCCGAAACCGACACAGGUGGUCAGGUCGAGUAGACCAAGGCGCUUGAGAGAACUCUGCUGAAGGAACUAGGCAAAAUGGUACCGUAACUUCGGGAGAAGGUACGCUGUUGUUGGUGAUGGAACUCGCUUCCUGAGCUGACGACAGCCGCAGAAACCAGGCCGCUGCAACUGUUUAUUAAAAACAUAGCACUCUGCAAACACGAAAGUGGACGUAUAGGGUGUGAUGCCUGCCCGGUGCUGGAAGGUUAAUUGAUGGGGUUAGCGUAAGCGAAGCUCUUGAUCGAAGCCCCAGUAAACGGCGGCCGUAACUAUAACGGUCCUAAGGUAGCGAAAUUCCUUGUCGGGUAAGUUCCGACCUGCACGAAUGGCAUAAUGAUGGCGGCGCUGUCUCCAGCAGAGGCUCAGUGAAAUCGAAAUCGCUGU
This 2004-nucleotide ribosomal RNA is filed under the name Acinetobacter baumannii 25307_1. Its description in RNAcentral is "bacterial LSU rRNA". It matches the Rfam family "Bacterial large subunit ribosomal RNA", at positions 14 to 2054 of the family's 2925-position model. Lineage: Bacteria; Pseudomonadati; Pseudomonadota; Gammaproteobacteria; Moraxellales; Moraxellaceae. The record is from RNAcentral.